RNAcentral lists this ribosomal RNA (259 nucleotides) under uncultured bacterium. RNAcentral describes it as "partial 16S ribosomal RNA". It matches the Rfam family "Bacterial small subunit ribosomal RNA", at positions 95 to 353 of the family's 1533-position model. The record is from RNAcentral.
CCGGCGCACGGGUGAGUAACACGUAUCCAACCUGCCGUCUACUCUUGGACAGCCUUCUGAAAGGAAGAUUAAUACAAGAUGGCAUCAUGAGUCCGCAUGUUCACAUGAUUAAAGGUAUUCCGGUAGACGAUGGGGAUGCGUUCCAUUAGAUAGUAGGCGGGGUAACGGCCCACCUAGUCUUCGAUGGAUAGGGGUUCUGAGAGGAAGGUCCCCCACAUUGGAACUGAGACACGGUCCAAAUCCUACGGGAGGCAGCAUG